This is a long non-coding RNA of Equus asinus (donkey), 1873 nucleotides long. Lineage: Eukaryota; Metazoa; Chordata; Mammalia; Perissodactyla; Equidae. The record is from Ensembl.
AAAAGGGGCCAUGGUUUUUAAUGUUUUCCACAGUGCUUAGAAGCCCAAUUCUAUUCCUCACAGGCGAUCUCUGGAGAAACAGUCUUUCUAAACACUAGACACCUGGAAGAAGCAAGGCUGUUCAGGAACAUCUGGGCUUUGAUUCUGCCUUCUCUCCUUAGAUAAAGUUGUGGCCUUAUUGGCACUGGGUUUGUCUCAAGAACCAGCAGGAACCCAGAUGUUUUUAAUUUCUCCCCAUUAAAGGGCAUAGCUUGUUAGGGCUUGUUCUUCCCAAAGUGGUGAUGUAAGCCCUGAGCGUAACAGAGAAGUGGAACCAUCACAAUUGAGCUUGUCAGAUAUUGCAAGACCCUACGUUGUCCUCUUGCUGAUAUUGCAUGACUUUAGAGGCGAAUGGAAGCUGCUGAGAUAUACUGCAUCUGUUCCUGCCCUGAGUGACUGCCUCACUGCUGCUCUUCAGAUCAAGAGGAACUGUACUCAAGGGGCUAUAUUUAAGGAACUGUACCUAAGAAGUUCAUCUGUACCUGGUCCUGAAGCCUCAGCCCGACAUUGUGGGUAUUGAGGAAUGAGUAUAUUUUGCAUGUGGGAGAGAUACGAACUGCUGUGGCUAGAAGGUGCACUGUGGUAUGUUGUAUUUUCAAAAACUGGUCUCAACAAUAUUUCUGGUCUCACAUGCUCUUCUAGAACCUUACCGCUUCCCGUCAAGAGACUGAAUUUAUUCUCACCCACCCCUUGAAACUGGGCUGGACUUUACAUUGAUUAAUAGAAUGUGGAGGAAGUGAUACUGUAUGACUUCCAAGGAUGGGUCAUAAAAGAUGGUACUGCUUCUGCUUGGCUUUCAGGAUGCUUACCUUUGGAACCUAGCCACCCUGGUAUGAGGAAGCCUGGGCCACAUACAGAAGCCAUGUGUAGGUAUUCUGGCACCAACCAAGGUUUCAUCUGACAGCAUCAACCACCAGAUAUGUUAGUGAAUGAGUCGUUUUAUAAUUUUAGUCCCCAGCCUUCAAGCCACCCCACCAGAUGCUGAGUGGGGCAGAGAUGAUCUAUCCCCUCUGAGACCUGUCCAAAUUGCAGAUUCAUGAGCAAACUAAAUAUUGUUUUAGGUCACUAAGUAUUAGGGUAAUUUUUUUCAGUGUAGCCAUAGUAACUGAAAUAAUUAGGUUUAUAAUUUUUGGGUUUUUUUUUUAAAUUAAGUUUUGGUAAUAAAGUUAUGCUGGCUUCAUGAAAUGAAUUGCAAAACAUUUCAUCUUUUUAUUUGGUAUGGAAUAACUUAAGUAAUUAUUUGUUGUUUAAAAGUUAGGUAGAACUCAGAUUUAAAGUUUUUUUUGUGUAUUAUUAUUUAAAAUAAUAGUCACCUUUCCAAUCUCUUUUUUGAUAAUUAGCCAAUUUGGGUUUUCUACUUGGUUUAAUUUGGGUUAUAUAUAUUUUCUAGGAAAUCAUACAUUUCUCCUAUUCCUAGUCUUGCUAAUAUUUGUUUUGUCUUACAUUCUUAAUUGUGUGUAUCUUGUUAAUUUUUAAAAAAACAUCUUUUGGAAUUCUUUAUCAAUUCUACUACUAUUUUUCUAUAUUACCAAUUAUAUCUCUUAUCUUCAUUUGCUCUUCGAAUUUUCUUUGGAUAAUUUUGUGCUUUUUUUUUAAAAAAAAAUCCCUUAAGAUAAACGGAAUAUUCCCACAGUUUUAGUAGUUUGUCUUCAUAAUGAAAGGAUUUAGGCACAUCAAUUUUUAUUUUUUUUGAAAAUAUAGCUUUUGCUGUCUUCUGUAAAUUUUUAUGUAUUUAUCUUUCAUUAAUUUCUAGAGUUUGUGAUUUUUCUCUUAGAUCAACAAUUUUUGUCAUUAAGAUGUCUCAAACAUUAAAAAUUAUUUCUAAUAUUAUUGA